ACUCCUACGGGAGGCAGCAGUAGGGAAUCUUCCACAAUGGGCGCAAGCCUGAUGGAGCAACACCGCGUGAGUGAAGAAGGGUUUCGGCUCGUAAAGCUCUGUUGUUAAAGAAGAACACGUAUGAGAGUAACUGUUCAUACGUUGACGGUAUUUAACCAGAAAGUCACGGCUAACUACGUGCCAGCAGCCGCGGUAAUACGUAGGUGGCAAGCGUUAUCCGGAUUUAUUGGGCGUAAGGAGAGUGCAGGCGGUUUUCUAAGUCUGAUGUGAAAGCCUUCGGCUUAACCGGAGAAGUGCAUCGGAAACUGGAUAACUUGAGUGCAGAAGAGGGUAGUGGAACUCCAUGUGUAGCGGUGGAAUGCGUAGAUAUAUGGAAGAACACCAGUGGCGAAGGCGGCUACCUGGUCUGCAACUGACGCUGAGACUCGAAAGCAUGGGGUAGCGAACAGGAUUAGAUACCCUGGUAGGAAACCG
Molecule: ribosomal RNA, 474 nt
Filed under: uncultured bacterium
Lineage: Bacteria
Description: bacterial SSU rRNA
Rfam family: Bacterial small subunit ribosomal RNA
Source: RNAcentral